RNAcentral lists this ribosomal RNA (253 nucleotides) under uncultured bacterium. RNAcentral's name for it is "partial 16S ribosomal RNA". It matches the Rfam family "Bacterial small subunit ribosomal RNA", at positions 524 to 776 of the family's 1533-position model. The record is from RNAcentral.
UACAGAGGUCUCAAGCGUUGUUCGGAUUCAUUGGGCGUAAAGGGUGCGUAGGUGGCGUGGUAAGUCGGGUGUGAAAUUUCGGAGCUUAACUCCGAAACUGCAUUCGAUACUGCUGUGCUUGAGGACUGGAGAGGAGACUGGAAUUUACGGUGUAGCGGUGAAAUGCGUAGAUAUCGUAAGGAAGACCAGUGGCGAAGGCGGGUCUCUGGACAGUUCCUGACGCUGAGGCACGAAGGCCAGGGGAGCAAACAGG